This 618-nucleotide ribosomal RNA is filed under the name Teratorhabditis synpapillata. RNAcentral's name for it is "LSU rRNA". It matches the Rfam family "Eukaryotic large subunit ribosomal RNA", at positions 344 to 977 of the family's 3401-position model. Lineage: Eukaryota; Metazoa; Nematoda; Chromadorea; Rhabditida; Rhabditidae. The record is from RNAcentral.
ACAAGUACCGUGAGGGAAAGUUGCAAAGAACUUUGAAGAGAGAGUUCAAGAGUGCGUGAAACCACUGGAAUGGAAACAGACAGAGUUGACGAAACUCGUCGAUAUUCAGCUGAGCCUUCGGGCACGGUGUACUUGUCGGCGGUAUGCGCUGAGUCCGCUGUUGGUGUGCGUUGAGCGUCGCGGUGUUGCCCACUUGUGGUGUCUUGCCGCGGCGGGAGGCGUAUCGUCGGUAGCGCGAUUCGGUGUAGGCGUUGAUCACCUGUCCGACCCGUCUUGAAACACGGACCAAGGAGUCUACCGCAUGCGCGAGUCAUUGGGUUGUAAACCUAGAGGCGCAAUGAAAGUAAAGGUCGGCGUUCGCUCGGCUGAUAUGGGAUGCGUGUGCUUGUCAUGCGCCACACCAUAGCCCCGCCUCGACGGCUUGCCGUGGGGCGGAGGUAGAGCGUAUGUGGUAGGACCCGAAAGAUGGUGAACUAUACGUGAGCAGGGCGAAGCCGGAGGAAACUCCGGUGGAGGUCCGUAACGAUUCUGACGUGCAAAUCGAUCGUCUGACUUGCGUAUAGGGGCGAAAGACUAAUCGAACCAUCACAAGUACCGUGAGGGAAAGUUGCCUUCCGA